Molecule: ribosomal RNA, 257 nt
Filed under: uncultured bacterium
Lineage: Bacteria
Description: partial 16S ribosomal RNA
Rfam family: Bacterial small subunit ribosomal RNA
Source: RNAcentral
UACGGGGGGGGCAAGCGUUGUUCGGAAUUACUGGGCGUAAAGGGCUCGUAGGCGGCCAACUAAGUCGGAUGUGAAAUCCCCAGGCUUAACCUGGGAACUGCAUCCGAUACUGGAUGGCUUAAUCCGGGAGAGGGAUGCGGAAUUCCAGGUGUAGCGGUGAAAUGCGUAGAUAUCUGGAGGAACACCGGUGGCGAAAGGCGGCAUCCUGGACCGGCAUUGACGCUGAGGAGCGAAAAGCCCAGGGGAGCAAAACGGGG